Molecule: long non-coding RNA, 319 nt
Organism: Saccostrea cuccullata (small rock oyster)
Lineage: Eukaryota; Metazoa; Mollusca; Bivalvia; Ostreida; Ostreidae
Exons: 2
Source: RefSeq, a predicted model, not a curated record
AAAAAAACAAUCGAUCAGUGAGAUAAAAAGCUGAAUUUAGAGAUGAAGACCUGUACCUUACUUGUUGUGUUUUGCCUUCUAACAUUAUUAUUCAUGGAACCUGUGUCCUGUCUUGGGGAGCGCUGUCGUCGUCGAUGCAAUAACAGGCAAUGUAUGAGGGAAUGCCGAGGAAAGGGUUACAUAAGCGGCGCAUGCUCAAGAUCACUACUCUGCCCAAGAAAAAGAAAAUUCAAGUGCAAGUGUUAUGGACGGUUUCGAGGUUGAAAAAAAAAAAUCUUUUAAAAAAGGUUUAUAAAUAAAUAAAGGAUUAAAUCAUAAA